This 87-nucleotide transfer RNA is filed under the name Deltaproteobacteria bacterium. RNAcentral's name for it is "tRNA-Leu". It matches the Rfam family "tRNA". Rfam says of the family: Transfer RNA (tRNA) molecules are approximately 80 nucleotides in length. Their secondary structure includes four short double-helical elements and three loops (D, anti-codon, and T loops). Lineage: Bacteria; Pseudomonadati; Myxococcota; Myxococcia. The record is from RNAcentral.
GCCCGGGUGGCGGAAUGGUAGACGCAGGGGACUUAAAAUCCCCUGGGGCUUUGCUCCAUGAGGGUUCAAUUCCCUCCCCGGGCACCA